CUACUGCUACGGCUGAUAUACGCGUUUGUUAUUUGCUUGUGUAACUCUUCUAUUUACCAUAAUAAUAACAUAUUAAUUAAUAAUAAUAAUAUAAAACAAAAUUGUGCCACACAUUUAAGACAACAAAACACACACAUACACAACAAAAAAAAAGUUACAAAAAAGGAGGAUUUUUAUCAUUUUUUUCAUUUUCAAAAAAGUCACAUUUGGAAACGAAGGAGCUUCAUCGCUUCCCCCCAUUUUUCGCCCGUACACACAAGGAAAUCAUCAAAGAAGCAACACAACAAGCAAAAACGAGCAUCCGAGGAGGCGCGAGAUCUCUCCGCGGAACGACGACUCGACGAGUCGCAAUUUUUUUUUCACAAAGAGAGCAAACCACGGAACAACAAUCAAACAACACACGGGAACAAAAAGACAAAAACAGAAAAUUAAUUCGACAAAGAACGACGAAGAAGUUGGCAACAACAACAAACAACCACCAAAAGUAUAGUUUUUCAGUUUUUCAUCAUCAUCAUCCUAUAAUUUUUCUUUCAUCAUACAAAAUAUUAUCAUUUAUUGGAAAAUUCAUCUUGAUCAACGCAGUUACAGCAUUUAUACUGAUUGAACAAAGAACGUAAACAAAAUAAAUAAUUAACAGAAAAGUAAUAAAAUUGUGCACCGUAGAAGAAAAGAAAAGAUUUAAGAAAAAAAAAACUGAACAUCAGCAACCAAUAUAUACUAUAUAUUAUAUUAUUAAUACUUUUAUUAGAAUAUUUAAUAAGUAAAACAAAUGAAACCAAAAGGACUGGAAAUUGAGUAAUAAUAAAAUAUAAAAAAAAAAUUAUUAAUAAAUAAGUAAAAUAAAUAGCGGUCACCUGCAACAGGGACGACACAACGUUUAUUAGUCACAACAAACACACACACACACGCUAAACUUUAAAGUACAAAGAGACAAUUAAACAAAAAAUAUCGGGUACUAAACCUUAAAAAAAAAAAACAAACUUGAACACUAAAAGUGAAAUGAUGUGAGAAUGAUGUGAAUUAAAAUAUUUAUAAAAAUAGAACGAAGUGAAACAAAAUAA
Long non-coding RNA from Culicoides brevitarsis, 1061 nucleotides. RefSeq lists it as uncharacterized. Lineage: Eukaryota; Metazoa; Arthropoda; Insecta; Diptera; Ceratopogonidae. The transcript is spliced from 3 exons. The record is from RefSeq and is a predicted model, not a curated record.